This 504-nucleotide ribosomal RNA is filed under the name uncultured bacterium. Its description in RNAcentral is "bacterial SSU rRNA". It matches the Rfam family "Bacterial small subunit ribosomal RNA", at positions 8 to 507 of the family's 1533-position model. The record is from RNAcentral.
AGAGUUUGAUCAUGGCUCAGGAUGAACGCUAGCGGCAGGCCUAAUACAUGCAAAGACGAACGGUAAGUUGAGUAGCAAUACUUAGCCAAGAGUGUCGUACGGGUGCGUAACACGUAUGCAACCUACCCUAUACAGGAGGAUAGCCUAGGGAAACCUGGAUUAACCCUUCAUAGUAUUAUUGGAUGGCAUCAUUUGAUAAUUAAAACUGAGGUGGUAUAGGAUGGGCAUGCGUCUGAUUAGUUAGUUGGCGGGGUAAUGGCCCACCAAGACGAUGAUCAGUAGGGGGUUCUGAGAGGAAGAUCCCCUACACUGGCACUGAGAUACGGGCCAGACUCCUACGGGAGGCAGCAGUAGGGAAUAUUGGUCAAUGGAUGCAAGUCUGAACCAGCCAUGCCGCGUGCAGGAAGAAGGCCUUCUGGGUUGUAAACUGCUUUGCCAGGGGAUAAAAUUUCCAUGCGUGGAAAACUGAAGGUACCUGGUGAAUAAGCCACGGCUAACUACGUG